UUUUUUGAUAGAACAAUAACGUACAAAGCAAGAAGCAAAUUUUUUUAGUAUUAUUUUUCUGAUUUUAUUCUAUGUUAUGUGGAGAGUUUGGCAAAAUACAAACCAAAUAAUCUAUUUGCACUCCUUACAUUAUCUCUGUUUGAAGAAUUACUCAUUCAGUAAAAGUGUUGAAACGCAGCUAAAGAUGUCAAAAACAUUUACAAGCUAAAGAGAUCUCAGCUCAGAUAACUCCAUUUCAAGUAAUCUAAAUUCAUCCCCAUUAUCACCUAAGUGAGCAUUACGGCUGUUAGCAAACCCUACACAAAUAUUCAGAUUUUUGUUUUUCCUGUCAUGCUGAAGGUUAUCUCCCCAGUUGCUCUGAAAAAUCAGGUGACAACCAUUUCCCAUGAUGCUUUAAGGGCUGUCAAACUGUCCAUCAAACUGUCACCUGACCAAUCGUUCCCAUGGUUCUUUUAGACUUCGAGUAUGAUAAAUUGAAAGGCACUAUUAUCUGCCUGUUGUGAAGAGGAACUGCUUAGGCUUUGAUAAGAUAUCACUAGUCCCAGGUGAGAGGAGGCUGACAGCACAUCAAGACAAGAAAACACAUGGAAACAGUGAACACAGGAGCAAAAGGUUUACAAACAUCUGUUGUCAUUAUUUAUUACCCCUUUCCUUGGUUUUAGCUCUAUCCUUGUUCUAUGUCAGUUUAAAAAGAAAGACUUUCCUCUCUUCCCAGCCAGUCUUAACGGCUGCUAUUUUUAAACCAGUUAGUUGUAGAAUGAGAAAUAUUUAAAAUAUGAAUGAUAUCUUUAAUAAAAGGUUGCAUUAUCUACCUUUUCUGAUACAUGUUGCUUUUACCAUCAUUAUAUUUGAGGUUUUAUAUGAUUCUCAUGGUACAAUUAUGUCAUAAGAAAAUGAGAAACCCUGAAAGAUAUGAAGACUUUUUAAGCUCCACGGUUAUUUUUCAUUGAUACCUUGAGACCAAUUCAGGUCUCUUGCUGAUAUUACAGAUCUGUCCUUCUACAAGCACCCAAAGUUAGCUUAAGAUACCUCAGAGCAAAACCAACAUAUUGUUAUUUAUUGUGGGUUGUUAAUAAAAAGAAGCCAGUUGCUAAUAUCACCACCUUGUGUACAAAUAUUUGUUUGCAUGCAGUUUUUAAUGAUUUCAGCCAGUGCUGUAAUUUCAUUAGACAGCACUACAGAACUUCAGUUGCAAAAAAGAACAUUUAAAUAAUUUUAUCAUAAAGAAUAUUUUAAAUCUGAGCCCUUUAUGUUUGUUUAACUAUAUUCAUGUGCUUACCUGAGUUAAGAUUAACAGCAAGCUUCCAUACACUGUGGACAAAUCCUAUUCAUUCGAGUAAACAGUUAAAAAUCAGUAGAACACAAUUUCACCAGUGAUAAAUAUACCUCCAAAAGUACUAAUAAAGGUAAGAUUAAUAAUUUAAGUAUGUUCAAUUUCUAAACCCGCUUUUCCAUCAAAGACCGUUUUGAGAAACCACAGACUGUUACAUUUAGAGUGACUUCAAACUUCCUUAUAUUUUAAACAUACAUCUGAUUUUAAAAGCAGAAACUAAGUUCUUCCAUGGCUAUAAAGCACCCUGGCUCAAUAAGCAUGAUGAGAUACUCCAUUCAUAAGUCAGGUGAAAAAAGUUCAGGUAUAAGGCAUAUAAAUGCUAACCAAUGAACCUCAUAAUAUCAAGCUGAUUUAGAAAGCUGAUUUAGACAGGAUGGUUUCUUCUGUCCCUUUUCAGGUAGAAAAUCAGGGUUAGUGUCAAGUGUAGUAGCCAGAGAGGAAAACUAAGAAUGAAAUAACAGGGCAGUUUCACACUCUUAAAUGAAAAACUCUGCAAGAAAAUAUUAGCCUUGCUGAGCUAAAAUAUUCUCUCUGUUCUUGCUGAUCUGCUAACACACGCAGUGGUGCUCUCUGGGCACUUUUCAAAAAGAAAAGCACACGGUCCCUUUCUCCAGGUCAUUAUAAUGGAAUGACAUGGGAGUACUGAAAAGAGAGAGACAAUAUCCACUAAGAGUGGUUGAGAUGGUGGCUAUUUUGAUAAUCAUGUUAUAUUAAACCUGUUUCUUCUGUUUUCUCUAAUCUUCAAACGAAGAAGCAGGAGUGCAGGGAAAGAAGGGUCUUUUCACGUAAUAUUGGGAAAAAGAAAUUCAUGUAUAGAGACUGGGACAGAAGAAGCUGCACUCUGCAUAUGAGAAGCCCACAAAUGGGCAAAGAGGACAAUGGAUAGGGGAAGCAACUGGAUAUGACUGGGCAAGGCAGAGUCAUGCAGUACUCAGCACACAGACAGAAAGCUUGCGUGGUGUAGGGCAAUGCUGUGGAGAGUUUCAAAGAUAGACAGAACAACUGGAUGACCUUAAAAGUGGAUUUGCACAGAGAGGGAAGACUUGCGGUCAUGUGCUGAUAUGUCUAGGAAGCUUUACUGAGUAAGAAGUUAAAAGUCAAUGCAAUCCUCUCUACAGUAUUUUGGUACUACACUAAGUAAUGCUUUUAGGAUUUAUCCUGCAGUAACUGAGUUCUCUGACAGAAGCAGAAAGUCUUUCGCAAAGAGGACAUUUUAAAUUACUCAGAUAAUGUUAAAGUCAGCCUUAAAUUGUGGGAUUGUAGAAUACCACGGCCACUGGAAUUGUAUUUUUCUCCACUGAUUAAUUAGAGUUUGAGAACAUAAAGCAAAAAUAUGGUAUACACACCUCUAACGUCCUUCAUAUUAAUAAAUUAAUUAUGUUUACAGUGAAGAUUUAUUAAAGGAGAUAAUGCACAGUUCUUUCUUAGUA
Molecule: long non-coding RNA, 2763 nt
Organism: Strigops habroptila (Kakapo)
Lineage: Eukaryota; Metazoa; Chordata; Aves; Psittaciformes; Psittacidae
Source: Ensembl